RNAcentral lists this non-coding RNA (152 nucleotides) under Homo sapiens (human). The record is from Rfam by way of RNAcentral. Lineage: Eukaryota; Metazoa; Chordata; Mammalia; Primates; Hominidae.
GCUGGGCGUGGUGGCGCAUGCCUGUAAUCCCAGCUACUCGGGAGGCUGAGGCAGAAGAAUUGCUUGAACCAGGGAGUCGGAGGUUGCAGUGAGCCAAGGUUGCGCCACUGCACUGCACUCCAGCCUGGCAACAGAGCGAGACUCUGUCUCAA